AGGCACGUAGCUCAGGGGGAGAGCGCUACCUUGACACGGUAGAGGUCGUUGGUUCAAAUCCAAUCGUGCCUA
This 72-nucleotide transfer RNA is filed under the name Desulfobacterales bacterium. RNAcentral's name for it is "tRNA-Val". It matches the Rfam family "tRNA". Rfam says of the family: Transfer RNA (tRNA) molecules are approximately 80 nucleotides in length. Their secondary structure includes four short double-helical elements and three loops (D, anti-codon, and T loops). RNAcentral also lists the same sequence under 1 other name. The record is from RNAcentral. Lineage: Bacteria; Pseudomonadati; Thermodesulfobacteriota; Desulfobacteria; Desulfobacterales.